GACGAACGCUGGCGGCGUGCUUAACACAUGCAAGUCGAACGGAAAGGCCCUGCUUUCGUGGGGUGCUCGAGUGGCGAACGGGUGAGUAACACGUGAGUAACCUGCCCUUGAUUUUGGGAUAACUUCAGGAAACUGGGGCUAAUACCGGAUAGGAGCUCCUGCUGCAUGGUGGGGGUUGGAAAGUUUCGGCGGUUGGGGAUGGACUCGCGGCUUAUCAGCUUGUUGGUGGGGUAGUGGCUUACCAAGGCUUUGACGGGUAGCCGGCCUGAGAGGGUGACCGGCCACAAUGGGACUGAGAUACGGCCCAGACUCCUACGGGAGGCAGCAGUGGGGAAUAUUGCACAAUGGGCGGAAGCCUGAUGCAGCAACGCCGCGUGCGGGAUGACGGCCUUCGGGUUGUAAACCGCUUUCGCCUGUGACGAAGCGUGAGUGACGGUAAUGGGUAAAGAAGCACCGGCUAACUACGUG
This 468-nucleotide ribosomal RNA is filed under the name uncultured bacterium. Its description in RNAcentral is "partial 16S ribosomal RNA". It matches the Rfam family "Bacterial small subunit ribosomal RNA", at positions 28 to 507 of the family's 1533-position model. The record is from RNAcentral.